Molecule: ribosomal RNA, 689 nt
Filed under: uncultured Bacteroidales bacterium
Lineage: Bacteria; Pseudomonadati; Bacteroidota; Bacteroidia; Bacteroidales
Description: bacterial SSU rRNA
Rfam family: Bacterial small subunit ribosomal RNA
Source: RNAcentral
AGGGGAAACGAUAGGGAAAGCUUGCUUUUCCUAGGCGUCGACCGGCGCACGGGUGAGUAACGCGUAUCCAACCUGCCCAUGUCUGGGGAAUAACCCGUCGAAAGGCGGACUAACUCCCCAUGGUCUCCGAUGAGGACAUCUGAAUUGGAGUAAAGCUUCGCGGACAUGGAUGGGGAUGCGUCUGAUUAGGUAGUAGGCGGGGUAACGGCCCACCUAGCCCACGAUCAGUAGGGGUUCUGAGAGGAAGGUCCCCCACAUUGGAACUGAGACACGGUCCAAACUCCUACGGGAGGCAGCAGUGAGGAAUAUUGGUCAAUGGACGAGAGUCUGAACCAGCCAAGUAGCGUGCAGGAUGACGGCCCUAUGGGUUGUAAACUGCUUUUGCGCGGGGAUAACACCCUCCACGUGCUGGAGGUCUGCAGGUACCGCGCGAAUAAGGACCGGCUAAUUCCGUGCCAGCAGCCGCGGUAAUACGGAAGGUCCGGGCGUUAUCCGGAUUUAUUGGGUUUAAAGGGAGCGUAGGCCGUGAGGUAAGCGUGUUGUGAAAUGUAGGCGCCCAACGUCUGCACUGCAGCGCGAACUGCCCCACUUGAGUGCGCGCAACGCCGGCGGAACUCGUCGUGUAGCGGUGAAAUGCUUAGAUAUGACGAAGAACCCCGAUUGCGAAGGCAGCUGGCGGGAGCGUAACU